Molecule: ribosomal RNA, 467 nt
Filed under: uncultured bacterium
Lineage: Bacteria
Description: partial 16S ribosomal RNA
Rfam family: Bacterial small subunit ribosomal RNA
Source: RNAcentral
GACGAACGCUGGCGGCGUGCUUAACACAUGCAAGUCGAACGGAAAGGCCCUGCUUUUGUGGGGUGCUCGAGUGGCGAACGGGUGAGUAACACGUGAGUAACCUGCCCUUGACUUUGGGAUAACUUCAGGAAACUGGGGCUAAUACCGGAUAGGAGCUCCUGCUGCAUGGUGGGGGUUGGAAAGUUUCGGCGGGUGGGGAUGGACUCGCGGCUUAUCAGCUUGUUGGUGGGGUAGUGUUUUACCAAGGCUUUGACGGGUAGCCGGCCUGAGGGGGUGACCGGCCACAUGGGGACUGAGCCAAGGCAGAGACCUCAAGGGGAGGCAGGGGGGGGUAUUCUUUGCAACGGGGUGGAAGCCAGUUGGACCACCCCGCGUUGGGGGGAGACGGCGUUUGGGUUGCAAACCGCUUCCGCUUGCAAAGAAGGUGACAUGAGGGGACUGGGAAAAGAAGACGCGAAUAACCAGAC